RNAcentral lists this ribosomal RNA (605 nucleotides) under fungal endophyte. RNAcentral describes it as "eukaryotic LSU rRNA". The stretch from base 182 to 335 matches the Rfam family "5.8S ribosomal RNA". Lineage: Eukaryota; Fungi. The record is from RNAcentral.
CAUUAAAGAGUUCUAUAACUCCCAAACCCAUGUGAACAUACCUAACGUUGCCUCGGCAGGUCGCACCUACCUUGUAGCACCCUACCCUGUAGGGCCUACCCGGGAGGUGCGGGUAAGCCUGCCGGCGGCCCACCAAACUCUGUUUGAUAUUGAAUUCUGAACCUAUAACUAAAUAAGUUAAAACUUUCAACAACGGAUCUCUUGGUUCUGGCAUCGAUGAAGAACGCAGCGAAAUGCGAUAAGUAAUGUGAAUUGCAGAAUUCAGUGAAUCAUCGAAUCUUUGAACGCAUAUUGCGCCCAUUAGUAUUCUAGUGGGCAGGACCGUUCGAGCGUCAUUUCAACCCUUAAGCCUUCGUUGCUUAGUGUUGGGAGCCUACGGCAACGUAGCUCCUCAAAGUUAGUGGCGGAGUUGGUUCACACUCUAGACGUAGUAAUUUUUUAUCUCGCCUAUUAGUUGGACUAAUCCCCUGCCGUAAAACCCCCAAUUUAUCAAGGUUGACCUCGAAUCGGUUCAGACAAACUCGCUAAAUUGAAGCAUCUUAGUCAGCGAAGGAAAAGAAACCAACAGGGAUUGCCCUAGUAACGGCGAGUGAAGCGGCAACAGC